RNAcentral lists this non-coding RNA (108 nucleotides) under Roundia cardiophora. Lineage: Eukaryota; Bacillariophyta; Thalassiosirophyceae; Thalassiosirales; Thalassiosiraceae. The record is from RNAcentral.
GGGUAUAGUGAGCAUAUAGUUUAACAAAUAAGCCUAAUUAUGUCAGGAUUGUAAAAUAGCAGCAUACGGUUUAAUUGAUAAAUUAGUAUUCUUACUAUGCCUACUAAU